AGAUUUUCCCAUGAGACGUGUGAGAAAGAGGCUCCCGGAAUUCGACAUCCAACUUGAGAGGGUCAAUUGAAGCAAAUCCCUAGCCUAAAUACCACACUGAAAACUCCGAUUGGUUUUUAUGUACAGCAGAAGAAUCUGAGAAUCUGAAUCCUGUGAACUUGAUGAUAAGAUGGCGAGCUAUACCCAGAUUUUGGAUGCGGUGUGGCCAACCGCGUGAUCCAGAUCGAACCUGAUAAGCAAACCACGAAAACAUCAGACCCCAGUCCUGCCGUCAGGAAGGCAGGUAGUACACACACAGACCGGACCAGAACGGAACUCCCGGAACUCUCAAGCGCACACACACUGAAAUGGACUGAAGGACCAUAUCCUGGAACUUUCAAGCACACACACUGAAAAGAUCUAUUCUUCCUUUUUUUAUUUUUCACUGUUUUACACUGUGAUUUGUGCCUGACCACGUCUGAAAACAAUAAACU
Molecule: long non-coding RNA, 473 nt
Organism: Clupea harengus (Atlantic herring)
Lineage: Eukaryota; Metazoa; Chordata; Actinopteri; Clupeiformes; Clupeidae
Source: Ensembl